GCAGGCCUAUUUUCAGCAAAUGCCAUGUCCUCUCAAGUAUGACAAAAUGGAGAUGUGAAGCGUGGACAAUCAGUUGGCACUGCAGCCAUUGGUGGUCCAUUCAAGCCUCUGAAUCAUGAUGGAAAAUUAGAAACUAAUUUGAUGGUACAAAAUGGCAUUCUAGAGAAGGAAACACCUUGCCGCGGUGAUAGCGCCAGA
Molecule: long non-coding RNA, 198 nt
Organism: Zea mays
Lineage: Eukaryota; Viridiplantae; Streptophyta; Magnoliopsida; Poales; Poaceae
Exons: 4
Source: RefSeq, a predicted model, not a curated record